RNAcentral lists this ribosomal RNA (258 nucleotides) under uncultured bacterium. RNAcentral's name for it is "partial 16S ribosomal RNA". It matches the Rfam family "Bacterial small subunit ribosomal RNA", at positions 793 to 1055 of the family's 1533-position model. The record is from RNAcentral.
GUCCACGCCUAACGAUGUCAACUGGUUGUUGGGAGGGUUUCUUCUCAGUAACGAAGCUAACGCGUGAAGUUGACCGCCUGGGAGUACGGCCGCAAGGUUGAAACUCAAAGGAAUUGACGGGACCCGCACAAGCGGUGGAUGAUGUGGUUUAAUUCGAUGCAACGCGAAACCUUACCUACCCUUGACAUGUCUGAAAUCCUGGAGAGAUUCGGGAGUGCUCGAAAGAGAAUCAGAACACAGGUGCUGCAUGGCCGUCGU